GAUUUCGGACCAGGCUUCAUUCCC
RNAcentral lists this microRNA (24 nucleotides) under Prunus persica (peach). RNAcentral's name for it is "microRNA miRNA_462". The record is from RNAcentral. Lineage: Eukaryota; Viridiplantae; Streptophyta; Magnoliopsida; Rosales; Rosaceae.